Molecule: long non-coding RNA, 239 nt
Filed under: Panax ginseng (ginseng)
Lineage: Eukaryota; Viridiplantae; Streptophyta; Magnoliopsida; Apiales; Araliaceae
Description: long non-coding RNA (PGIN_LNC011143)
Source: RNAcentral
UAAUUUUAAAUAAUAAUGUUAAAAUUAUAACAAUGUUAUCUUAAUUUUAAUUAAAGAUAUAUUCUUACCAGUUAUAUUCUGCAAUGGAAUAUAGAUAUAGUUUGUUGAUGCUGUUCAAUGUUACCUAUUUUUCAUUUAGUACAACUCUUUUCCCUCGUUUUGAUUUUUAAAAUUUUUAAUUGCAAUUUAGCUCCAUUAAAAUUGGUUGAUUUACUUGGAGUGGAUAAAGGAAACCUUGG